This 107-nucleotide small RNA is filed under the name Marmota monax (woodchuck). Lineage: Eukaryota; Metazoa; Chordata; Mammalia; Rodentia; Sciuridae. The record is from RNAcentral.
GCUGGGUGUGGUGGUGCACUCCUACAAUCCCAGCAAUUUGGGAGGCUGAGGCAGAAGGAUCACAAAUUUGAGGCCAGGCUGGGCAACACAGUGAGACCCUGUCUCUA